Long non-coding RNA from Gopherus flavomarginatus (Mexican gopher tortoise), 869 nucleotides. RefSeq lists it as uncharacterized. The record is from RefSeq and is a predicted model, not a curated record. NCBI's taxonomy places the organism in Eukaryota, Metazoa, Chordata, Testudines, Testudinidae. The transcript is spliced from 5 exons.
CUUUAACGGCAACCUGCUUAUUUUUAUAAGAUGAAGCAAGUAUCUUGAACACCUAAGUUGGACUAAGCUCUUCAGGCCAUUGCCUGAAGAGAUCAUAUGUCUGGUUCCUAGUAAUAUGGUGAUUUAAUCACGACACGGGCCUCCACAUGCUACUACAAUACAAAUAAUGUAGCAGUUAAAAGACUUUCAAGCUUGUUUCAAGGCAUAUUUUGGAUCUUUCAAAAGAGUUGGAGCAGAAAAGGAUUGUGUCUAGUGACUUGUAACAAUGUGCCUCAAAUUUAAAGGAAAUGACACAAGAUACAAUUAAACAACUGGAUAAGUCACAGCUUUGGUGGCAUUGGUUUUGGCCUAAAUUGAGGAAACCGCUGCAGUUGACUGUUGAACAGCUUAUCCAAUGGAGAGGACAGAGGCAUAAGAUCUCCCACACAUUUGUAAGAAAGGGUUGUAUUCCUUCUGACUACACAGCUGACUGGCUUCCACUUCUGAGUGGACAUGGAAGGAGAAAGAUUUAAUGAAUGCUAACCAAGCAAACUAUGAGGAAAGAGCAUAAGCUCCAAAGCUGCAUUCCAUGCUACAGCCACCUUAAAUACAUGACACUCACAGAGACACACAGAUAAGGGUCUUCAGCCAUUUCUUAUUGAAAAUGAAGUUUUCUGGACCCACUACAUGUGGUUUUACUCUACAACUGAACAGGCUUCUAAAAUCCUUAAGAAGAGGGGUUAGGUGCAAAUCUCAUGUGAUCUGCACCUGGAGAGAAAUAACUGAUCUUCAGCUGUGAAUAAGUAUCCUCAGUAUUUUGUGCUUUUUUCUGGCUAGGAAUGCUCAUUACCAAUGCUAUUUUUGUGUUUAAACAAGGACUUCUUGCUUUA